This 207-nucleotide ribosomal RNA is filed under the name uncultured bacterium. RNAcentral's name for it is "partial 16S ribosomal RNA". It matches the Rfam family "Bacterial small subunit ribosomal RNA", at positions 568 to 774 of the family's 1533-position model. The record is from RNAcentral.
CGCGUAGGCGGUGGACCCAGUCCGGGGUGAAAUCUUUCGGCUUAACCGGAAAAGUGCCUUGGAUACUGGUUCACUCGAGGGAGGUAGGGGCAUGUGGAACUUCCGGUGGAGCGGUGAAAUGCGUUGAUAUCGGAAGGAACGCCGGUGGCGAAAGCGACGUGCUGGCCCUCUUCUGACGCUGAGGCGCGAAAGCCAGGGGAGCAAACG